UGCUGUUUUGGUGCCCUGGCUACCACGCUGUAACAGCGUGAAGCGAACCCGUGCACAUGCGCAGAUACCGUGUGUGACUUUGUGAGAGCGAAGUGUUGCAUCUCGCUCAUCUCAAUAUCUCCGGCGCUGCUCGUGGCAACGUCAUUUCACUGCGUCUACCUUUAACAAACCAGCUUAGUAGACACUUUCAGGAUAUUGUAAAUCCUGUAAGGAGGGCUUGGGCUUUCCAGUGGCCUUGCAUUCCCACACCAGAGAGUCGUCAAUGGGCUUCUGCACAUCCUGGGGUUUCUCUAUCAGAUGUGGAGGGGCUGCAUGGUCAAAACAACAUGGCUGUGAAUUAGAACAUUCUCAUACAGAUCCCAUUUCUCGCAGCUCAGCAUUCAACACCAUAGUGCCCAGAAAGCUCAUCACUAAGCUAAGGACCCUGGGA
Molecule: long non-coding RNA, 430 nt
Organism: Oncorhynchus tshawytscha (Chinook salmon)
Lineage: Eukaryota; Metazoa; Chordata; Actinopteri; Salmoniformes; Salmonidae
Exons: 3
Source: RefSeq, a predicted model, not a curated record